Grammomys surdaster is the source of this 1552-nucleotide RNA transcript. It is a transcript of the gene named tetraspanin-7 pseudogene, with no coding region annotated. The transcript has a single exon. Lineage: Eukaryota; Metazoa; Chordata; Mammalia; Rodentia; Muridae. The record is from RefSeq and is a predicted model, not a curated record.
GGUGGGCUAGGGCUUGAGAGAAGAACAGCAAUCCAGAAAUGAAGGGGAAAUGCUAAUGAACAGCGCUAAUGAGGGACAGUGGCAGGAAAGAGGGAAUGAGUUGAUGACCCAGUGGUAGAGGAACAAGGCGAAUGGGGAAGAAGUCAGGGGCCCCAGCCUUCCACUGUAUCCACCUCCCAGAACGAAGCCUAUCUCCUGCAAAGCAGUCCUCCAAACACAGGAAGCAAGAACUUCACUCCCUGGAGUCUUCCUUUGCCAUCCAGACUAGCAGAGGUCAGUGACUCUAGCCUCAGGGGAAUUAAACAAACCUACAGCAAGGAUUUUAUAGGAAGAGCCAACUUGGAAAUCCUGCUUUUUCUCUCUCUGAGAGCGGUAUUGUGGCACUGAGGAGAAUGGAGACCAAAUUUGUGGCAUCCUGUCUCAAAAUCUUCCUCCUCAUCUACUGCUUUGGCUUUUGGAGCACUGGGGUUAUCUUGUUGGUCUUUGGAGUCUGGGGAAACCUCACUCUGGGCGUGUAUCUCUCUCUUCUUGCCAUAGAUAUUCCCGGUGUGCUCAUUGGAACUGGUACCAUGAUUAUCAUUUUUGUUUUUUUUGGAUGCUUUGCUGCAUGCCGAGGAAGCCCAUGGAUGCUGAAACUGUAUUCUCUGUUUCUGUUACUGGUGUUCCUGGCUGAGCUUGUUGCUAGUGUCUCAGGGCUUUUGCUUCACCAUGAGAUCAAGAACAAAUUCCUGAAGAUUUAUACCAAUGCUAUACAGAAUUAUAACAGCAAUGAUAGGAAGAGCCAGGCAGUGGACCAGGUGCAGUAUAAUCUGAUGUGCUGUGGUGUGAAGAACUACACAGACUGGAAUGACAACCCGUACUUCCUGAAUCAUGGUAUUCCCCACAGUUGCUGCAAGGAUGAAACUGACUGCAAUGCCAAGGAUCUACAAAAUCUGACCGCAGCUGCCACCAAAGUUUACCAAAGGGGCUGCUAUGAUCUGAUGGUAGGUUUCUGGGAGGCAAACAUGGCCAUCAUAAUUGGAAUGCUGUUUACAGUCACAUUUUUCCAGCUGAUUGGCGUGAGGUUGUCCUGUUGUCUGUCUCGGGUCAUCAUAACCCAACGGUAUGAGACAGAGUGUAAAGUUUUACAAGAGAAAUAGAGAAAGAAGCCUGUUUCCAAGGAGAACUACUACAUCCUCUGAAAGACUUGCAAAGACCAUUAGUGCACAGAACUCAUCUGCCCUGCUCUCAUGGCUGUCUUCCUCAGGGCCCAUCCCAUACAAGUUGCUGGUACUCCUACCUGAUCUCUGCUCCAACUUUUAGACCACAUGAAGUGUCCUGUUCAUCUCAUGAAGCCCUGCUGUGUUAUACAGUGUAACCACCUGCAGCUAGUCAUAGUGAACCCCACCCUAUGGCCCUGUGUGUGCAAGUUCUUCCUCAUGUAUUGGGUCCAAAUGCAGGUUAUUGUGGGAGACUAGUUAUCACAUCAUCACUGGCUUCUUGUGGUCCUGCAUAAAGUAUGGGAAGCUGCUAUCCUUUUAUCAUGGUCCAUAAAUGCCACACACCUUUCUAG